This 72-nucleotide transfer RNA is filed under the name Strongylocentrotus purpuratus (purple sea urchin). It matches the Rfam family "tRNA". From Rfam's summary of the family: Transfer RNA (tRNA) molecules are approximately 80 nucleotides in length. The record is from Rfam by way of RNAcentral. Lineage: Eukaryota; Metazoa; Echinodermata; Echinoidea; Camarodonta; Strongylocentrotidae.
GUUUCCGUGGUCAAUUGGUUAAGACAUUGGCGUUCUAAGUCAGUGACCCGGCUUCGACUCCUGGCGGAGACA